RNAcentral lists this ribosomal RNA (311 nucleotides) under uncultured Hyphomicrobiales bacterium. Its description in RNAcentral is "bacterial SSU rRNA". It matches the Rfam family "Bacterial small subunit ribosomal RNA", at positions 21 to 358 of the family's 1533-position model. The record is from RNAcentral. Lineage: Bacteria; Pseudomonadati; Pseudomonadota; Alphaproteobacteria; Hyphomicrobiales.
GGCACAGAACGAACGCUGGUCCCAGGCCUAACACAUGCAAGUCGAACGCCCGUAGCAAUACGGGAGUGGCAGACUGGCCCGUAACGCGUGGGAACGUGCCCUUCGGUUCGGAAUAACUCAGGGAAACUUGAGCUAAUACCGGAUACGUCCGUAAGGAGAAAGAUUUAUCGCCGAAGGAUCGGCCCGCGUCCGAUUAGCUAGUUGGUGAGGUAACGGCUCACCAAGGCGACGAUCGGUAGCUGGUCUGAGAGGAUGAUCAGCCACACUGGGACUGAGACACGGCCCAGACUCCUACGGGAGGCAGCAGUGGG